CGGGAUGGAGGGAGGGAGCGUCGGCACAGGGCAAGGUGCAGGAGCUGCUGUGUGCGGGGACAGCUCGGGGGGAGGGAGUGGUUCCAUCACAGGGUGGGCAGACACCGUGCCCAGGCUGGAGGGGCCUCGUGCCCAGCAGUGCACCGUGCCCACAGGACAGGACAUGGCCACAGGCAGGGAUGGGCACAGCCAUACUUAAGGAAGCCAGAGCCCAUUCCUAUGCUUUUUUAGCAUCCAAGGACAUAGGCUACCCACACACAGGAGGUGUUUGUGCUAGUAAAACCCCACAGUCCUCCUGAUCCAUGAUUUUCUUAUUAUACAUCUGGAAGCGAGAUACCCAGUUCUGCCUGUUUGCAUUCUGCUGAAGAAGGAGGGAUCAGCCUGGCCGUGUCCUUGCAGGAAUAUCAUUGCUAUACGCAGCCAUUGGGAGCAUCUCUGCAUUGCAAAUAUUCCUAAGAGCCUCCAAAUCAUGCACAGACCUCGCUGCGUUGGAAGCCAUUUUUAGGGAAUGCAUGAACCAAGCCAAUUUUCUUCAGAAAAAACACCUUUCCCUGGAUAGGCUGACAUGUCUGCUUAUGCAUUUAUGUCCAACUGCAACAUCUCUUCUGUUUUUGGAAGCUCUUUGAUCAUAAGAUCAUUCCGCAUCGCCUUUAAUUUCCUGGGGCUGGCGUCAGGCACCAGGACAGGCAUUGACACGGGCUGGGAAAGAACAGCCCUGUGGGUGGGUGCGGGUGGGCACAGGUGAGCAGCCCCAAUCCCCUCCAAACCCUGCCCAGCUGAGAUCCAAACAGGUUCCAGCUGCCUGGCCAGCUAAUCAGGGGAUAAUUAGGGAGGGCAGCAGCAGGCUAUAAGAAGGAGUCUGUCCUUCUCUCUUCCUUUUGCUUCUUAUGUGUCAGAAGGGACUAUCGAGGAGAGAUAGGACACAGGCUGAAUCCUGAGCUGGGCUCUGCCUCACAGCCUUCAGUGAGUGCCCCCAAGCACCACCUGCACAUCGUGUGCCACGGCUGGGAGGAGGCUGAAGGCUUCAGAGCUUUGCCACGUGCUGCUGCCGCCGCGUGUGUGACAGGAAUCUGCUGCCUGCAGCACCUGCCUUACAGCAUCUCUCUUACAAAGCCUGGGAGAGCUGCAGGCCUGGGGUUCAGUGCAGCUCUUGUGCUUACAGCACAGAUGAAGAUGAGGCAAACAGACCCUGGGAAAUUCAAGAAUGUGUAGAGGAGCAGGAAGACACCUAUUUAAAAAGAAACUGCACCACCCUGCUAUCCUCCCCUGUGACUCCGCAUCCAUCUCAUGCUGCAUGGAGCCUGGCCAAGGAUUUGUGCAGGGGCGGUGCUGGCAGGCCUGAGCAGGCCGUCGGCAUGGAAGCGUGGCAGAUGCAGCACAUCUGGAGGGCUCCGCACUGCUGGCACCGCUCUGCGGGGCUGCUGAUGGCUCUGCAGCAAAAGAAAGCGCAGGCACUGAUGGCCUUUGUAUCGCAACACACGUUUGAAAGGGAUUUUGGAUGCCUGGUUCUGUACUGGUUACUCAGCCAUGAUGUGCCUGGCACAACGGCGCUGGGCAGCCAGGCUCAGCCACGGUGCCGCACUGCCCUGCAGAGUGCUGUGCCCCAGUUCCAGCCAUGGGGCAGCCAUAGGGCUCAGGUGCUUCUCCACAGCAGCGCACAGGAGCUCAUCUUGCCUUGCUUGGAGGGCUACAUGUGGGGGAGCAGUGAGCCAGGCUGGCUCUGCACCCUGGGGAGACCUCACAGCUUGUGGCUGGGCAACAAAACCAUUGAGAGACCCAAACUGCUGCAACAUCAGCAUACCAAUGGGUGUUGCUUGGUGCACCUGGAAGGUGUGUUGUUAAGAAAAGCAAGAGAGAGCACAUCAGUAGAUGGCAAUGCCCCCAGGUGCCAAGCAGCUCGCUGGGCUGGGAGUGCAGAGAUGCGGAAGACCACACAGCACCGUUACAGCAAAGGGGGAUGAAAUGUGGGUGCUUUUCUUUUGACUCACAAAUGAUGAUGGACCAGACAGUUUGGAUAAGCAAUCCAAAUAGCCUAAAUAAUCAUUGGGCCAGAUCCUUUCGGGACUGAGCAGUUGCUAAUGGUUGUUCAGAAACAAAUACAAAAUCCACUUCAUCCUCAUGGAGUCAUUUCUGAAGCAUGAGAUAAACUGCAUCCUCUGCUGCCAGGGUGGGGAGCACAAACAGUGCCCUCUUAGGACACCACACCCUGAUGCUACCAUGAGGCCACCUCGGGCAGGAGCUGGCUCUGUCUGCAUUGCCAUACCCGGGGGUGCUGCGGCUGUGCCCAGCUUACCUGCUUGAGAAGGGGUUUGAGAGCAGCACUGGGCAGUGACAAGCAGCCACAGACGAUGUCAGCCCUCCUGCGCUCUGAGAGUGCUCCUGCGUGAGCAGCAUCAGAUGGAGCAUCCCCAUGUGGAACAUCUCUGUAAAGAGCAUCCCUGUAUGAGCACCUCUGUAUGGAGCAGCCCUGGAGGGAGAUCCCUGUAUGAAUCAGGUCAGUAUGAGUGUACCUGAAGGAAGCACCCCCCACAAGGCACAUAUGGAGUGCUGACGGUCCCCUGUCCUGGUCCUGCAGUGCCCUGUGUGAGCCUCCCACAUGCUGUGAUGGAGGCCUGGCCAUUCCUGGCAUGUUUUCAGUAGAAGAACAUUGGCUAUAUUUAGAUCAAAAAUAAAUACAUUCUUGGCUGGUGCAGGAUUUUUAAUGCCUGAUGAAUUACCAGAACUUCUUUCACAGGAAACUAUAAAAUUCCUUGGGGUGAGCGCUUGCCUCUGCCCAGGCUAAGGCAAACAGAGCUCUGCCUGCAGCAAGUGCUGGUGGGAUUGUUAUUAAUAACCACACUGCUGUGUUUGUUAUUGGUGCUGCAUGAGAACGAGGAACAGAACCUGCAAGUGACACCGAGCAUCCAAGUGUAGAGCAGAGAAUGCUUCCUCAUGGAGGGCGAGGAGCGCAUCGCUCACAGCUCGCUGUGUUCAGCUCACUCUCAGGGCAUUGGGAAAGCAGUGCUUGCCUGCUCAGGGGCUGUGUGCUGGCACAGUGUGGCAGAGGCCUGCUGUCUGGGUCUGCCAUUGCUUUUCAUUGGCAGGAGCACAGAGGAUGGGCGUCUUGGUGCUGCUGUGCCAGGUGCCGGCAGCAGUGCAUGCCUGUAGGGGUGGCUGAGGGCAGCUGGGGAUGCUGCCAGGCACUCCUGGAAGCAUGGGGACAGACGGACAUUUCUGUGCUGACAGAUGGACACAUCCUCCAACACAGACAGACAUUUAUUUCCUCUGGCGCUGACGGAGCUGAAAGGUGUAAUGCUGUUUUACAGGGCCAGGGGAAGGCCUUUUAUUCUAAAGCUGCUCCCAGCACCGUGACAGGGGUUUCUGGUCCUUCUCCAUCCCCAUUACUUCUCCAUGGACUUGCCUGCCCUGCAGCCCCCCUUGCUUGCAUGGCCUCCCAUGGUACACACAGACUGUAGCAUUGGCAGAACAGCAGAUUUACUAAAAUGCUUUCAUUUCUAUUGCACGAUUAUUUUACACGGUGCAUUCGUAUAACCUGGCUGUGUGGCAGAAGGCACAAACUCUGCCCAGCGAGGCUAAGGUUUCUCACUGCUGUCCUCAUGCCUGAGUCUUUGAAGUUUUAUAAAGAGCUCAAUCUUUGGACAAAGCAGCCAGUAAAUCAUCUCCACUAACUGCAAUUCCAUCCAACAAAUACACCGGCCUGGCUGCAGCAGCGGCACUUUGAGCUCAAUUUCACCCUAGUGGUGGAGCAGCACAGAAGUGCAACAGACAGAGGAAUGGGGAUCUCCUGCUGCCGGCUCCUCCUGCCCCCAGAGCCUGCCGGGUCCCCCAGGGCCACCGAUGCGCCCACCCCACCCCGGGCUCUGCUCCCCCCCCGGGUGCUGCACACUGCCCUCCUGCUGGGCACCGCUCCGUUCCCCCUGAGCUCCUGGCUUCUAGCACCAAUAAAAUCCUGUUUCUUCCUUCUGCUAGAGCAGGUUGGCUGCUUUAAGCUGAAAAGCCAAAAGCACGCUCUUCAAAUAUUGAUAUUUUCCCAGGAAAAAAUAAUCUGCGGUGCAUUGAUCUGUCCAUCUCUCUUAGCACCGAAAUUCUUCACAUUCUGACCUCCUGACACAGCUCGCUUUUGUGGAGAAAACUGCCCUGUUUUUUCUCUCGCCUUUCCGGAUCCUGGAGGCUUUUUCCAGCAGCCUGAGGUUCUCAGCAUGGUAAUAUCAUAUCCGUGUUUUGCUCUCAGUAAUCAUCAGCUCAACUCCCAUUUUAGGACAUAUUUUCUCUAAAACGCUGCCUUACUUGGCUUCUUCCUUCUGACGGCUCCGUUACAUCACCGCCGGGCAGCCCGCUCCAAGUAUUGCCCCGGCUCCUCAGGGCCGCGCUGUGGGACGGGGACAGCGGCGUCCCCUGAUGUCAGUCACCCCUCUCCCUGCCCUCCUGCAGCAACAUUCCCGCUGGCCAUGCCGGGGUGGCAGCGUCUUCUGCUGUCCGGGCCCGACCUCUUUUGCCCUCAGAAUAGCAAGAAGGCAGCUGCGCGGCUUUUGCUCUAAAGCCCCAGGCUGCCAUUUCCCCUCGUGGCAGUGCCCAUUUCCCCUCGUGGCAGUGCCCAUUUCCCCUUGUGGCAGUGCCCAUUUCCCCUCGUGGCAGUGCCCAUUUCCCCUCGUGGCAGUGCCCGCCUGGCAGACAGGCCCCAGCUCCUCCUGCGGUGCCGGCGCUGCCCCUCGCCCUCCUGCGGCUGGGACGGGCUGCUCCCUGCUGCUGUGUCCUUCGCUGUCUGACAUCCACAGCCACGCUCUGCAAAUCUGCUUUUGGCCCAAACCCCACAGUGUAAUGUCCAGUGCCAAGAGUUAAUUGGAAAUAAAAAGGGUAAUUCUGAAAGAUCAGAUGAAGAGGGAUAUUUCUGGGUUAGAGGUAUUUCCCGAUUACAUCAACCCAAACAAAAUAAAACCCACAUUUUAAUGACUCCUAAGAGAUAAACCAAAUUAUUUUCAACAUUGACGGAUGAAUCUGACUCAUUUGGCUGUGAGAAGUGGCUUUGCCAGCUUGUGCAGAGGGAUGUCUGGUGGCCAGGCAGCUGGGGAUGGGGACGGGGACGUCCCCUGGCACCUGCAGGUGGUGGUGGCACCCGGUGCCCAUCGCCCACAGAGGGGCCUCGCGGUCCCCGUGUGCACAGCCCCAUUCUGCACUGGGGUGGGAGGUCUUGGGAGCACAUCCCAGGUGCAAGGGAUGGGGUGGAACCCGGGCUGGGCCCGGCCGAGGGAAGCACACUUCUCCAGUGCACGCUGCUCUAUUUAUAGUGAGAAACCAGAGAGUGGAAAAACAUCACAGAAUCCAUAUUGGAGGCAAUAUUCAUGAAGGAGCAGCAAAAAAUCGCGGUAAUCCCUUUGGCAGCCUCGGGGGGCCGGAGUUCCCUCGGCUUCCUGCAUCUAUUUUUGAGACAGAGCAGCUCAGCUGCUGGAGGCAUCGACCCGGAGCACGGAGCACAGGGAGCUCCUCUGCUGCAGAGCAGCACUGUGAUCUCUGGGCGCUGUGAAGGAAGGUGACCCGCAGCCCAGCCCCUGCUCCCCCCCCAGAGCUCUGGGCCUCAGCACCAAUGGGAGCUGCGUGCUGCUGCACAGAGCGGGUGGAAACCAGGGAUGCGUUGACUGGCACAGGCACCAGGAACGUACAAAGUAAAUUGGAUUUGGUUUGGGGAUUAAUGAGGAAAAAUCUAGGGAGGCUCCAGAGCACAUCUGAGAAAACACGAUAGUGGGAGUUCACUGCAAUGCUUCAGCCGUGGUUUUAUCUUAACUGUUUGGCAUUUGUUUGCCCAGAACCAGAGCUGCGAUGGGCAAUGUCACCUCCCAGGGGAUGAGGCUGCGCAGUACAAAGCACUGCUGUGGCCCUCUGCCUCCGGGUGGGAGCUGCAUGUCCCAGUCAGGCUUUUCACCUCUGCCCAGAGUGCUAUCAGCAGCCCCAGUGAUGGCACAACUGCGAAUCUCCUGCUCUGCUGGAGCUCCUGCUGAGCUGCAGCCCCUUCUGCUUCCUGCUGGCUGGGAGUGGGCUCUGUGUGAAGCAGAUUUAAUAUGGAUGGCCUUGCUGCCCAGACCCUUUGGAAACGGAUUUUGUCAGGGGCCCAAAGCAAUGCAAUUGCUUCUGCUACAACAAAACGCAGCUGGUUUGGGUUUUCUGAUUUAUCCCCUUGAUCCUGGCCGUAAGGGGCUGUUGUUUGCCAGCCCAUUGUUUCCCCAUUGAAAACAGAUGGUAGGGGGUGAAAAUCCGAUUGCAUUCACUGCAAAGCACUGACUGACCACCAACCUGCUGGCUGGGGCACUGUGGGGGCCUGCUUCUAUCCCUGGAUCACCCCAACCCUGUGAUGGAUGUGGACCUGGGGACGAGGUGCCAGACAGACAGAUACAUGGAUGCCAGCAGGGCCCGUCCCUGUGCCUGCUCUGACCUCACACUGCACAGAACUGUCCCCUCACUGCCUUGCAGAGGAUAAGCAGAGGAAUGCUCACCACCACAGCACCUUCCUAAGGCACCAAUUGGUGGAUAAGGGGCCUCAGGGAGGGCAUGUUUCUGCCAACAUCGCAUUUUCACUGAAAUCAGUUGAAAGUCAGUUGUUGAAUCUUGGAGAAGGUGUUGAUACUUAGAAGUUUGUCCUAAGAAAAAGGAUCAAAACUGCUCUGCUUCCUGCCCUGGACAGCUCUCAGCACUCCUGACAGCACUCCAGGGCACUGUAGCUCAGCACCCUGCAGCAGGCAGAGCACUGAGCAUCGAUGCCUCGAGUGCUGCAUCCCGGGAACAUUGUGCCCAACGCUCAGGUAAAUCCUAGCACACGCUAAACAAGGCAGAAUAUGCUCUUUCCUUGCUGGUAGAUUUCUGCUGUAAACACCAAGAUUUGAAACUUUUGUUCUUUUGAGGGAAAAAAAAGCACCUGUCUUAAAGCAUGGGGUGUCGAACUUUUCCAACUUGUUUGCACUGAAGAAUGGAAGGGCUCUUCCCAGUGUGUUGAGGGGCACUGGGGUCCUGCAGCAGCCCCUUAGGAAUCGGCCUCCUGGGGUCAGAUCACCCCCCAGGUUGGUAUUUAGCACCGCUCUGGGGUUCUGCUGAGCUGCCACAACAGCUGAGCUUGGCAUCUUCCCAUGGCCGCCCCUCUCUGCAUUGCGUUCAGCAGCCGAAGCGCAAAGGGCAGCAGGAGGCAGUGCUGCUGAGAGCUGCAGGGAGAGGUCCUUAAAGCCUGCUCUGUGAGCAGAUGCACAUACCUCAGUGCUACUUCUGUGUACAGCCGCCCCGGAGCCCUGAGCUAAAAUUUGCAGUGCUUUCAGAGAAGUUCACAAGGGAGACCUCAGCCCAACAUGCAGGUUUGUGACUUCUGUCAGCACAAGGACCGUCGACUGCUGCUCCAGUCGUGGCUUUCAGCUCACAGCCCAUCCCACACUUACAGAGGUGCUCUGGAGUCAUACAGCUGGGCGCAGAGGAGGACAUUCCCAGUGUGGAUAUGUCAGGGUAACACCUCUGCAUCCUUCGGGGAGGGUUAACAUUUGGACAGUGUUAAUGCAUAGUAGUGCUUCUGGGUUUACAUUGCUGCCGUGCUGCUCCCUGCCAACCUGUGUGCUCUGCUCCCCACGUGGCACGGGCCCAGCACUGGCACUCAGGAUUUAAACAAAAUACCCAUUAAUAUCUGCAAGAGUCAUGCCUGAGUAAUGAGUGCAGGAACAGGACACCAUUAUGGGCUGCGAAGGAAAACAAUUAAGAUCAGCCACAGUAUUCAGAAGGCAGCUCUGCAAAUAUCCUUUUCCUCUCUCAAGAAACAAAGAAUGUUUCUGAGGUUGCUUGGAGCUGUACUCUGAAUAUUCAUGGAGUGAUACCGGCCUGUUUGCUGUGGGGGUGAGGAAGGCCACAUGCUGUAACCUUUGCUUUGCAGCUCAGUGCCUCAUUUCCUGCAUCCUUAGAAAACCAACUGACAGCCACAGAGCAUUGGUGCCAGCAACUGCACGGUGGCAUCACAGCGUGGUUGGGUUAGAUGGGACCCCUCUCCCAGCCCCACCCUGCUGCGUUCUGGCUUCCCCCAAGCUCAGGCUGCCCAGGGCCCAUCCACAGCCUCGGGCACCUCAGGGAUGUGGCACCCACAGCUCUGCAGCACUGCUGGGGCCUCACCAUCUUGUUAGUGAUGAAUUCCUUCUGGCAUCUGAACUAAAUCUCCCCUCUUUUAGUUUAAGGCAUUCUCCCUUGUUCUAUUGGCAUGCAUGCUCUCUGGGCAGCCCCCAGCUGGGGACAUCGUGCUCCCCACACCCUGCCCAGGGCUGUGCUCUCCCCACACCCUGCCCAGGUUCCACUCUUGGUGCUUGCCAGGCAAUGUGGUUUGGCAGCACAGAGCCUGGAAACACCCAUGGAAAGAGCCUGGGGGAACAGCACAGCUCUGUCCGGCACAGACACGCUCUGUGCUGCGCUUGGGGAGUGGUGGCAAAUUAAAGGCUGAGAAACAAAACAUCUGAUUUUGGUCUGUGGUAUGUGUAUGUGCAAGGCCAGAAGGAAGCGUGCUCAGGGCUUUGUUUUGCCUUCCUCCCUCUCGAUUCCCAAAGGAUCAGGACCACGUAAGGCCAUGCAGACACCUUACACGACCUAUGCACAAACUGACCAACUGGUUGUGGAGCAGCUCAAACAUGAGGGGACUCCAACAGCACAGCUCUGCACAGGAAGCAGCUGUGCAUGGUUCAGGGCAGUGCCUUCAGCCCCCUGCCCCCAUCCCUAUCCCCUGCCCUCCCUGCUGCCCCAUCCUGGCUCUCUACAAGGGCUGCUUUUCCAGCCCUGCCAAUCUGUUUACUCAGGUGGCCUCAAGGGAAGGUUCUGGCGAAGCACUAACAGGCUUCAGCUCCAAAGGAGAUCUUUAUUCACUGCUCUGUCUGUUGGCCUAAGCCUUGUUCGGCUUUUUCAUUCACAGUCAGAAGAUGCCCAUGUCCGACCUAUCAGCUCCAGCUGUGGGGCACAAAGGGAUACCUGGGCGCCCAGCACCACGAUUUGCUCAGAGGGCACUUUGUUUCCCUUGCAGACAGAAGCUGCUUCCCUGCAGUUUUGCUCUGUUUCUCAGGAAUGCAGUGCAGGGAUACCUAAAGCUGUGAACACAGCGUGGGAGGUGGAGGAGCAGCAUGCAAGGUGGGCACGGGGUGAUGGCAGCUGGAGAUGGCAGUGGGCAGCAGCCCCCAGUAAGGGAGCAGCACAGCACCUGACUGCCCAGAGAUUUACUUCCCUGCUGAUUUGGCUGAAGAAGUGGAGUUAAAAAGUAAAUAAAGCUCAAAUUAGAUUUAUAUAGACAUCAUUAAACUCAUAUUUAUAGAAUAACACGUACCCAUAUGAACUUUAUUUAGCUUGACAACAGCAGCAGCUGCUGCAGGGCUCUGGGAGGGUGCUUCCCCUGAAACGCAGAGCACUUCCUAUCUGAUCCUGCCCCUCUGCAUUUUUCCCCUCUGGAGCUUUAAAGAAAGUUGUAGCGUGGUGUUUAUACAGCCACCUCAGCCUGCCUGUAGUUUACAUUUUUCUCACCUGAAGCCACUGAAUUUUGAGUGAUUUUAAUUAUAGAAUCUGAAAUUCACAUUUCCAAAUAGAAUGGAAAAGCCCAUCCUUAGCUCGGCUUCUCUGCCCCUGCUGGAGGUGGCAUGCAGUGUGUCCAACUAAAAGUACAAAGGAGAAAUAAGAAGGCAAUGCCUCACUCACACUGCCCAGAAACCCACACUUUUGGCUGAUGGGGGCACAGCAGGGGUUAAAUGCCCAGAGCAUAUCGACACCCAGGCUGGCACAGCAGUGCUUGGUGCAGGGCAGUGCCAUCCUACUGCUGCACCCCUGCUGGCCUUGGAGACACCGCAGGACAGCCAGGCAGCAUCUCCCAACAGCCUGCGCCUUGCUGCUGGAAAAACUCUCCUGAGUAAAAUAUUUCUGGGAAAAAAA
Non-coding RNA from Meleagris gallopavo (turkey), 9912 nucleotides. The record is from RefSeq and is a predicted model, not a curated record. Lineage: Eukaryota; Metazoa; Chordata; Aves; Galliformes; Phasianidae.